Molecule: non-coding RNA, 185 nt
Filed under: Saccharomonospora viridis
Lineage: Bacteria; Bacillati; Actinomycetota; Actinomycetes; Pseudonocardiales; Pseudonocardiaceae
Source: RNAcentral
GGUCGCCCCUCGGGGCGUCGCAAGAGGGAGCCCGGUGUGAGUCCGGGACUGCCUCGCAGCGGUGAGUGGGAAACGACCGCCGUCAUAGAGCACUGGGCCUCCGGCCUGGGAAGCGACGGCCGGUAGCGUCCGUCCUUCGACCUUCCGGAAGCGAUCGAACACGCCUACGAGUCCGAAGACCUGCC